UCAGGACGAACGCUGGCGGCGUGCUUCAUACAUGCAAGUCGAACGAGAAAUCACCUUCGGGUGAUGGAAAGUGGCGGACGGGUGAGUAAAAUGUAGAGAAUCUGCCCUAGAGAGGGGGACAACAGAGGGAAACUUCUGCUAAUACCCCAUAUGCGCGUAGUUGAGAUACUAUUCGUGAAAACUCCGGUGCUCUAGGAUGAGUCUGCAUCUGAUUAGCUAGUUGGUGGUGUAAUGGACUACCAAGGCGACGAUCAGUAGCUGGUUUGAGAGGAUGAUCAGCCACAAUGGGACUGAGACACGGCCCAUACUCCUACGGGAGGCAGCAGUAGGGAAUUUUGCGCAAUGGGCGAAAGCCCUGACGCAGCAACGCCGCGUGACCGAUGAAGCCCUUCGGGGUGUAAAGGUCUGUCAGUGGGGACGAAACUUGACGGUACCCACAGAGGAAGCACCGGCUAACUCCGUGCCAGCCGCGGC
RNAcentral lists this ribosomal RNA (474 nucleotides) under uncultured bacterium. RNAcentral describes it as "bacterial SSU rRNA". It matches the Rfam family "Bacterial small subunit ribosomal RNA", at positions 24 to 518 of the family's 1533-position model. The record is from RNAcentral.